RNAcentral lists this ribosomal RNA (467 nucleotides) under uncultured bacterium. Its description in RNAcentral is "partial 16S ribosomal RNA". It matches the Rfam family "Bacterial small subunit ribosomal RNA", at positions 29 to 507 of the family's 1533-position model. The record is from RNAcentral.
ACGAACGCUGGCGGCGUGCUUCACACCUGCAAGUCGAACGGAAAGGCCCUGCUUUUGUGGGGUGCUCGAGUGGCGAACGGGUGAGUAACACGUGAGUAACCUGCCCUUGACUUUGGGUUAACUUCCGGCAACUGGGGCUAAUACCGGCUAGGAGCUCCUGCUGCCUGGUGGGGGUUGGAAAGUUUCGGCGGUUGGGGAUGGACUCGCGGCUUAUCAGCUUGUUGGUGGGGUAGUGGCUUACCAAGGCUUUGCCGGGUAGCCGGCCUGAGAGGGUGACCGGCCACAAUGGGACUGAGAUACGGCCCAGACUCCUACGGGAGGCAGCAGUGGGGAAUAGUGCACAAUGGGCGGAAGCCUUAUGCAGCAACUCCGCGUGCGGGAUGACGGCCUUCGGGUUGUAAACCGCGUUCGCCUGUGACGAAGCGUGAGUGACGGUAAUGGGUAAAGAAGCACCGGCUAACUACGUG